RNAcentral lists this ribosomal RNA (372 nucleotides) under uncultured bacterium. RNAcentral describes it as "bacterial SSU rRNA". It matches the Rfam family "Bacterial small subunit ribosomal RNA", at positions 524 to 898 of the family's 1533-position model. The record is from RNAcentral.
UACGGAGGGUGCGAGCGUUAAUCGGAAUAACUGGGCGUAAAGGGCACGCAGGCGGAUAAUUAAGUGAGAUGUGAAAUCCCCGAGCUUAACUUGGGAAUUGCAUUUCAUACUGGUUAUCUAGAGUCUUGUAGAGAGGGGUAGAAUUCCACGUGUAGCGGUGAAAUGCGUAGAGAUGUGGAGGAAUACCGGAGGCGAAGGCGGCCCCUUGGACAAAGACUGACGCUCAUGUGCGAAAGCGUGGGGAGCAAACAGGAUUAGAUACCCUGGUAGUCCACGCUGUAAACGAUGUCGAUUUGGGGGUUGGGCUUAGGUCUGGCUCUCGUAGCUAACGCGAUAAAUCGACCGCCUGGGGAGUACGGCCGCAAGGUUAAA